This 253-nucleotide ribosomal RNA is filed under the name uncultured bacterium. RNAcentral's name for it is "partial 16S ribosomal RNA". It matches the Rfam family "Bacterial small subunit ribosomal RNA", at positions 524 to 776 of the family's 1533-position model. The record is from RNAcentral.
UACGUAGGCAGCAAGCGUUGUCCGGAGUUACUGGGCGUAAAGGGUGUGUAGGCGGUCUUCUAAGUCUGGUGUGAAAUCUCCCGGCUCAACUGGGAGGGUGCGCCGAAAACUGGAAGGCUAGAGUGCGGGAUGGGAGAGUGGAAUUCCUGGUGUAGCGGUGAAAUGCGUAGAUAUCAGGAGGAACACCUGUGGUGUAGACGGCUCUCUGGACCGCAACUGACGCUGAGACACGAAAGCGUGGGUAGCAAACAGG